RNAcentral lists this long non-coding RNA (1165 nucleotides) under Equus caballus (horse). RNAcentral's name for it is "lncRNA (ENSECAG00000047095.1)". The record is from RNAcentral. Lineage: Eukaryota; Metazoa; Chordata; Mammalia; Perissodactyla; Equidae.
AUUUUUUUUUUUGAGGUAAAAUUUAUGUAACAGUGAUAUCCAAAUCUUAAGAGUACCGUUAGCUAAGUUUUGACUAACACAAAAGCCUGGGUUACCCAAACCCCUGUUAAGGUAUAGAAAAUUUCCAUAGAGAAUUUCUUUGGUUGUUAGUUUUUCCACAACCAGAGAGUAUAAACUAAAUUCUAGACUUUUCCAGGUCUGAGUAAACUAUAGGGAGGAAAUUGCUUAUUAUCGUAUAAGGGAUUUUAGGUGAAUUUUAUUUUAUAGGUGCAGAAACACAUCUCAGAUUAAGGUCUGCAUCUGUGCUUUUUGCUGUUUCAUUUUGACCUCAGUGACAUUACAAGUAAGCAGAAACACUCAGAAGGGAAAUGGUCCGUGCCUGUGAGUUAAGAGCAGGAACCAGAUCUAUUUUUGGAUAUGUAUCUCAACUCCCUGGAAUGCUUUAUACCUUUGGCACUCAAUAAAUGUUUGUUGUUGCCAGACUAUCUGCUACAAAAAGUUACUGGGUCUAUUUUAGGGCUGUUUCUUGUUCACUUAGAAAAUAAUCAUGGGAUCACAGAAGUCAAAGCCAUGGAGAGCAUCACACAGCUUUCUCAGCUGUUCCUCAGUUGUUACUUGAGGUAGGGUUAAAAGUAGAGGAUUUGGUACUGAAAGCUUCUCGAGAGCAUAGAGGUGAAGAAAGAAGGAAGGGCAGCUAAAUUCAAACAGAACAGUGUGGAGGUCUUGGCGGUAGAGACCUGCGUCUGAGUUCUCUUACGCUUCCUGCUGGAGUUCAGACCCAGUGCAUGACCUAUCCAGGGCCUGCAGGUGCACGCAGACAAGCAGUUCCUGCUCAUUGAAGGUGUUUAUAUGGAAAAGUCCUGAUACAUGCUCAUAGGAAGGAAUGUAUAGCAAAACAGUGGCGUGGCAUUUUAUCUAAGUUACAGUCAAGAAAUUUGGGUAUAUUUUUAAAUGCUAUACCAAGUUUCAACACCCCAAUUGCCCAUUGAAGCCCAUUGCAAACCAUUGCUUGCCAUUCUUUGUUUAUGAGUAUAGUGCUCACUUCAUUGACUUCAAGUCAAAUAUGCAGAAUGAAAUCUGUCUCUGAAUUGCCAGCUUGGUCACAAAUUUUUUUAUUCCCAGAUGGAAAUUUUCUCUAGAAGAAAUAAUAACAGUAGUAUUUUGG